Mercenaria mercenaria is the source of this 1219-nucleotide long non-coding RNA. RefSeq lists it as uncharacterized. The transcript has 3 exons. The record is from RefSeq and is a predicted model, not a curated record. NCBI's taxonomy places the organism in Eukaryota, Metazoa, Mollusca, Bivalvia, Venerida, Veneridae.
AGUGGAUUAAGUAUUUGUUAAAACAUUCUAGUGGAGAUUCCUUCAACAACAGAUAGCAAAAUAGAAAGCUGCUCAAGAAUAUCAAAAGUUUAAAAGUAAACAGGAACUUCUUUGUUGGAGAUAUUCCUUUACACAUGCAGCUGGAAUUUAAACAGUUUAUGUUGCUAAAAUAACUUUUAAAUGGACACUGGAUAAAGUAUGAGGUGUGUAUAUGCAGUACCUGACAUAUGCCAAAACACACACAGAUAAAAUUAUGAGGCAUGAGACAUUUUUGGCUUCAGUGAUUUACACUUUGUAGAGUGAAUGGUGCUCACAGAGAAACCCUAUUGAUGUGUAAACUUUUUGAUGGUAUACACCUCUUGACUUGAUGGCAAAUAGUGGAAAACAGUGGCAUUCUCCAUGCUGGUUAGUGGAGAAUGGUGGAGAAAUAUCCAUGGCAAAUAGUGGCAUUUAGAGAAAAACAGUGGCAUAUUUUACACUGAUUGCCACAACAGUUAUGGUGGCAAAUAGUGGAAAAUUUUAGUGGCAAAUGGUGAAAUACAUUCCAAUACUCCACUGAUAGUGGCAUUCAAUGGAAAACAAUGGCAGUUUUUACAUCGAUAUGUGACAGUGGCAAACAGUGAAAAACUUAAAUGGCAAAUAGUGAAAAACAUUCCAAUACUCCACUGAUACUGGCAUUUAAUGUAAAAUGGUGGAAAAUUUUGACUGGCCUUUCCAACCUCUAUUUUUUCAAUGUUUUCCAUCAGUUUCCACUCAAAGAGGCUUGUUCCAAUACUCCAGUGUUUUCCAAUGAUUUUUCAGUGGAAAAUGGUGGCAAAUUUACAGAAGGGCAAGAUCCAGACCCCUAGCUCUAAGGUCAAGGUCACACUUAGAGGUUAAAGGUUAACAUGGUCUGUUUCUUGUCUGGUCCAUAACUCUGCCAUUGAUGAGGGGAUUUUGAAAUUACUUUGCAAAAAUGUUCCCUUUAAAUGAGAUGAGGUGUCAUGCACAAGGCCAAGACCCCUAGCUCCAAGGUCAAGAUCACACUUGAAUGUCAUAAGUGUUUCUUGUCUGGGCCAUAACUCUGCCAUUUAUCAAGGGAUUUGAAAAUAAUUUGACACAAAUGUUAACCGUAUUGAGAAGGUUUGUCAUGCUUAUGACCCGGGCCUCUUAGGUCAAGGUCAAUGUCAUGAAUUGAUGUGUGAUAUUUUGUGCAUACAACUGUAGCAUUCUCGGGCAC